UUUCCGUAGGUGAACCUGCGGAAGGAUCAUUCAUAAUAAAGUGUUUUAUGGCACUUUUUAAAAAUCCAUAUCCACCUUGUGUGCAAUGUUAGAUCUCGUCAAUCUUGGCGAGAUUUUUAUACAUCAACUCAUUUUUUAACUAAUUUGUCUGAAAAAUAUUAUGUAUACUUAAUUCAAAAUACAACUUUCAACAACGGAUCUCUUGGCUCUC
Molecule: unclassified non-coding RNA, 211 nt
Filed under: plant metagenome
Description: partial contains small subunit ribosomal RNA, internal transcribed spacer 1, and 5.8S ribosomal RNA
Source: RNAcentral